Triticum aestivum (bread wheat) is the source of this 115-nucleotide non-coding RNA. Lineage: Eukaryota; Viridiplantae; Streptophyta; Magnoliopsida; Poales; Poaceae. The record is from Rfam.
UAUCUACUCCCUCCGUUCGGAAUUACUUAUCGCAGAAAUGGAUGUAUUUAGACGUAUUUUAGUUCUAGAUAUAUCUAUUUCCGAGACAAGUACUUCCGAACGGAGGGAGUACUAA